UACGUAGGUGGCAAGCGAUACUCGGAAUCACUAGGCGUAAAGCGCAGGUAGGUGGUUGGGUAAGUCUCUUGUGAAAGCUCCUGGCUUAACUGGGAGAGGUCAAGGGAAACUACCCGGCUAGAGUUUGGUAGGGGAUACUGGAAUUCCUGGUGUAGCGGUGAAAUGCGUAGAUAUCAGGAGGAAUACCUAUGGCGAAAGCAGGUAUCUGGGCCAUAACUGACACUGAGCUGCGAAAGCUAGGGGAGCAAACAGG
This 253-nucleotide ribosomal RNA is filed under the name uncultured bacterium. Its description in RNAcentral is "partial 16S ribosomal RNA". It matches the Rfam family "Bacterial small subunit ribosomal RNA", at positions 524 to 776 of the family's 1533-position model. The record is from RNAcentral.